CCCUUAGAUGUUCUGGGCCGCACGCGCGCUACACUGAUGCAUUCUACGAGUCUAAAACCUGCUCUGAUAGGGGUGGGUAAUCUUUUGAAUGUGCAUCGUGAUUGGGAUAGAUGAUUGCAAUUUUUCAUCUUCAACGAGGAAUGCCUAGUAAACGCAAGUCAUCAGCUUGCAUUGAUUACGUCCCUGCCCUUUGUACACACCGCCCGUCGCUCCUACCGAUUGAAUGAUCCGAUGAAUAUCAUGGAUUGAGGAUGCAAGUAGGUUCGCCUAUCUUCAUCUUCGAGAAGUGAAGUAAAUCUUAUCAUUUAGAGGAAGGAGAAGUCGUAACA
Molecule: ribosomal RNA, 329 nt
Filed under: uncultured eukaryote
Lineage: Eukaryota
Description: partial 18S ribosomal RNA
Rfam family: Eukaryotic small subunit ribosomal RNA
Source: RNAcentral